Branchiostoma floridae (Florida lancelet) is the source of this 90-nucleotide non-coding RNA. The record is from Rfam. Lineage: Eukaryota; Metazoa; Chordata; Leptocardii; Amphioxiformes; Branchiostomatidae.
GUACGUUUGUGUGUGAAUAGUGUUCAGCACCAAGGACAGGUACGUUUGUGUGUGAAUAGUGUUCAGCACCAAGGACAGGUACGUUUGUGU